AGAAAAAGGAACCUAGCCCUCAAUGAAUAAAUAAUUUAAGGAUCUGUCAUUAUCUUGCUUGAAAUCAGAAGAGAGGAAGAAUACAUAGAAUGCCUAUUUUUGACAGUAUUUUGUCUGUUUUUCAAGUUAAAUAUUUUCCCUUGUUCAUCAAAUGAUGCUAAUAUAUCUUUACUAUGUUAGGAUGUAUAGUCAUCAUCCAAUAUGGAUAAAUCCACUCUCCUAUGAGCCUCAAAAGACCUAACCACAGAAGAGCAAUAUGACUAAGGGAAGAGAAUGGAACUGACACCAUGCCCUGGGUUAUUCUAAUAUUUGAAAUUGAUCUCUGGAGGAGAAACUACAUAAGACACUGUGAGCAUGAAGAAUAUUAACAGAACUAAAGCAGGAUCAAGCCCAAUGCACUGAUGACGAAUAUCCUAAAUGGAACAUGCUCCGUCAUCUCAACAUGUUUGACCCUCACAUGACAAAAAAUCAGCAUCGAUGAUCCCCAGGAAGAGGGGGUGGUGGCACUUUAUGAUCGGAAAGGUUCUUUCUGCUCCCAGACUUUCCUAAUGCAGCCCUCCA
This is a non-coding RNA of Macaca mulatta (Rhesus monkey), 561 nucleotides long. NCBI's taxonomy places the organism in Eukaryota, Metazoa, Chordata, Mammalia, Primates, Cercopithecidae. The record is from RefSeq and is a predicted model, not a curated record.